GCGACGAUGAGUGACUGUACAUGCAGUCGAACGCACAGCGAAAGGUGCUUGCACCUUUCAAGUGAGUGGCGAACGGGUGAGUAACACGUGGACAACCUGCCUCAAGGCUGGGGAUAACAUUUGGAAACAGAUGCUAAUACCGAAUAAAACUUAGUGUCGCAUGACACAAAGUUAAAAGGCGCUUCGGCGUCACCUAGAGAUGGAUCCGCGGUGCAUUAGUUAGUUGGUGGGGUAAAGGCCUACCAAGACAAUGAUGCAUAGCCGAGUUGAGAGACUGAUCGGCCACAUUGGGACUGAGACACGGCCCAAACUCCUACGGGAGGCUGCAGUAGGGAAUCUUCCACAAUGGGCGAAAGCCUGAUGGAGCAACGCCGCGUGUGUGAUGAAGGCUUUCGGGUCGUAAAGCACUGUUGUAUGGGAAGAACAGCUAGAAUAGGAAAUGAUUUUAGUUUGACGGUACCAUACCAGAAAGGGACGGCUAAAUACGUGCCAGCAGCCGCGGUAAUACGUAUGUCCCGAGCGUUAUCCGGAUUUAUUGGGCGUAAAGCGAGCGCAGACGGUUUAUUAAGUCUGAUGUGAAAGCCCGGAGCUCAACUCCGGAAUGGCAUUGGAAACUGGUUAACUUGAGUGCAGUAGAGGUAAGUGGAACUCCAUGUGUAGCGGUGGAAUGCGUAGAUAUAUGGAAGAACACCAGUGGCGAAGGCGGCUUACUGGACUGCAACUGACGUUGAGGCUCGAAAGUGUGGGUAGCAAACAGGAUUAGAUACCCUGGUAGUCCACACCGUAAACGAUGAACACUAGGUGUUAGGAGGUUUCCGCCUCUUAGUGCCGAAGCUAACGCAUUAAGUGUUCCGCCUGGGGAGUACGACCGCAAGGUUGAAACUCAAAGGAAUUGACGGGGACCCGCACAAGCGGUGGAGCAUGUGGUUUAAUUCGAAGCAACGCGAAGAACCUUACCAGGUCUUGACAUCCUUUGAAGCUUUUAGAGAUAGAAGUGUUCUCUUCGGAGACAAAGUGACA
Molecule: ribosomal RNA, 1020 nt
Filed under: Leuconostoc mesenteroides
Lineage: Bacteria; Bacillati; Bacillota; Bacilli; Lactobacillales; Lactobacillaceae
Description: bacterial SSU rRNA
Rfam family: Bacterial small subunit ribosomal RNA
Source: RNAcentral